Molecule: ribosomal RNA, 583 nt
Filed under: Dianema harveyi
Lineage: Eukaryota; Evosea; Eumycetozoa; Trichiida; Dianemataceae
Description: partial small subunit ribosomal RNA
Rfam family: Eukaryotic small subunit ribosomal RNA
Source: RNAcentral
GCUCGAUUUUGAAUCUGCGAUGGGCUCCGUACAACUGUUGCAACCCACCAGCGCCCCGGGGGGACCCGUGUGGCCGCGUCUUCAACAAGCGUAUGUAUAGUCUCUAAAACUGAUCUGGAAUGGAAUGUCCUCGGCGGAUAACCGAGGUAAUUCUUUGGCUAAUACGUGCGUUGAAGACCAACAGGUGGGGUCUCUCAAUGCGCUAAAGGCAUCCCGCGUGAGCGGGAGUUCAACUGCCUAAACACCUGCAAGGCACUGUUGGGGCCGCCGAAACUGAACUCUGGUUACGCCCCCCCCCCCNNNCCGGGGGGGGGGUGGCGCCACGUGAGGUGGAUGGCGUCACCCUACCGGCGUCCUUUCGCUGGUGCGCAUUGAGAGACCUCCGACCUAUCAACUGGGAUGAAUGGAGCCCGGCUCCACAUGGUUGCAACGGGUACAGAGGAUUAGGGUUCGGUCCUGGAGAGGUAGCCUCAAAAAUCGCUACCACUUCUAAGGAAGGCAGCAGGCGCGCAACGUUCCCCAUGGGGAAGCCCUGAGGACGUGAAGGGACAUAGCAAUACCGGGCGAUAUAAAGCUUGGUAAU